This 490-nucleotide ribosomal RNA is filed under the name uncultured bacterium. RNAcentral's name for it is "partial 16S ribosomal RNA". It matches the Rfam family "Bacterial small subunit ribosomal RNA", at positions 30 to 507 of the family's 1533-position model. The record is from RNAcentral.
AUUGAACGCUGGCGGCAGGCCUAACACAUGCAAGUCGAACGGUAACAGAAAGCAGCUUGCUGCUUUGUUGACGAGUGGCGGACGGGUGAGUAAUGUCUGGGAAACUGCCUGAUGGAGGGGGAUAACUACUGGAAACGGUAGCUAAUACCGCAUAACGUCGCAAGACCAAAGAGGGGGACCUUCGGGCCUCUUGCCAUCGGAUGUGCCCAGAUGGGAUUAGCUAGUAGGUGGGGUAAAGGCUCACCUAGGCGACGAUCCCUAGCUGGUCUGAGAGGAUGACCAGCCACACUGGAACUGAGACACGGUCCAGACUCCUACGGGAGGCAGCAGUGGGGAAUAUUGCACAAUGGGCGCAAGCCUGAUGCAGCCAUGCCGCGUGUAUGAAGAAGGCCUUCGGGUUGUAAAGUACUUUCAGCGGGGAGGAAGGGAGUAAAGUUAAUACCUUUGCUCAUUGACGUUACCCGCAGAAGAAGCACCGGCUAACUCCGUG